GACGAACGCUGGCGGCGUGCUUAACACAUGCAAGUCGAACGGAAAGGCCCUGCUUUUGUGGGGUGCUCGAGUGGCGAACGGGUGAGUAACACGUGAGUAACCUGCCCUUGACUUUGGGAUAACUUCAGGAAACUGGGGCUAAUACCGGAUAGGAGCUCCUGCUGCAUGGUGGGGGUUGGAAAGUUUCGGCGGUUGGGGAUGGACUCGCGGCUUAUCAGCUUGUUGGUGGGGUAGUGGCUUACCAAGGCUUUGACGGGUAGCCGGCCUGAGAGGGUGACCGGCCACAUUGGGACUGAGAUACGGCCCAGACUCCUCCGGGAGGCAGCAGUGGGGAAUAUUGCACCAUGGGCGGAAGCCUGAUGCAGCAACGCCGCGUGCGGGAUGACGGCCUUCGGGUUGUAAACCGCUUUCGCCUGUGACGAAGCGUGAGUGACGGUAAUGGGUAAAGAAGCACCGGCUAACUACGUG
RNAcentral lists this ribosomal RNA (468 nucleotides) under uncultured bacterium. RNAcentral describes it as "partial 16S ribosomal RNA". It matches the Rfam family "Bacterial small subunit ribosomal RNA", at positions 28 to 507 of the family's 1533-position model. The record is from RNAcentral.